UACGUAGGGGGCGAGCGUUGUCCGGAUUUAUUGGGCGUAAAGAGCUCGUAGGCGGUCUGUUACGUCUGCUGUGAAAACCCGGGGCUUAACCCUGGGCUUGCAGUGGAUACGGGCAGACUAGAGGCAGGUAGGGGAGAAUGGAAUUCCCGGUGUAGCGGUGAAAUGCGCAGAUAUCAGGAAGAACACCCGUGGCGAAGGCGGCUCUCUGGGACGGUACUGACGCUGAGACGCGAAAGCGUGGGGAGCGAACAGG
This 253-nucleotide ribosomal RNA is filed under the name uncultured bacterium. Its description in RNAcentral is "partial 16S ribosomal RNA". It matches the Rfam family "Bacterial small subunit ribosomal RNA", at positions 524 to 776 of the family's 1533-position model. The record is from RNAcentral.